RNAcentral lists this ribosomal RNA (377 nucleotides) under uncultured Gammaproteobacteria bacterium. RNAcentral describes it as "bacterial SSU rRNA". It matches the Rfam family "Bacterial small subunit ribosomal RNA", at positions 521 to 896 of the family's 1533-position model. Lineage: Bacteria; Pseudomonadati; Pseudomonadota; Gammaproteobacteria. The record is from RNAcentral.
UAAUACGGAGGGUACGAGCGUUAAUCGGAAUUACUGGGCGUAAAGCGCGCGUAGGCGGUUAAGUAAGUUGGAUGUGAAAGCCCUAGGCUCAACCUAGGAACUGCAUUCAAAACUAUUUAACUAGAGUACGAGAGAGGAGAGUAGAAUUUCUGGUGUAGCGGUGAAAUGCGUAGAUAUCAGAAGGAAUACCAAUGGCGAAGGCAGCUCUCUGGAUCGUCACUGACGCUAAGGUGCGAAAGCGUGGGUAGCAAACAGGAUUAGAUACCCUGGUAGUCCACGCCGUAAACGAUGAGAACUAGCCGUUGGGGAGAAUUAACUCUCCAGUGGCGCAGCUAACGCAUUAAGUUCUCCGCCUGGGGACUACGGCCGCAAGGCUA